This is a long non-coding RNA of Dermochelys coriacea (leatherback sea turtle), 1595 nucleotides long. RefSeq lists it as uncharacterized. NCBI's taxonomy places the organism in Eukaryota, Metazoa, Chordata, Testudines, Dermochelyidae. The transcript is spliced from 5 exons. The record is from RefSeq and is a predicted model, not a curated record.
GGGCUGACUGCUGGAGAGGAAGGAUGCCUAUUGCAGGCUCCAGCCUAGGAGACAUAGCAGCCGCUGACUGUGAAAACCGAAGGUGCUGAGAUUCCAGCAGAUGCCUUGGUACCUGUGGACACCACAGGGACUUCGUAGCCCCUGUGAACAGCCCUGGCAGAGGAACCCUGAAGCCGCCCAGACUAUGGAUGCAGGAGUCAUGGAAUUCUGCUCGGUUGAGCUGGCCCUAAUUGACCACAGAGGGACAGAGUGCCAGAACUCGAGUCUCCCCGGCUCCUUCUGCUGCGCACAAACCUUUGAGAAACAACUGAAUGAGACAGCUCUACCAGACCAAGGCUAGCUGCACAAAUUCCAGCCAACUGCUCUGGAGAAUAUUAUUGAGUCGAGAAAGAACAAGGAGCAAUAGUUACAUACAACUUGUCAAGAGCUGCUGUUGACAUAAGCAGUGCCGACUGGAGCCACCAGGGUCCCUUUUCGACUGGGCAUUACAGUAAAAAAGCAGAUGCCUGGCAACCCUAUCUUCACACUCAGCACAGUGGGAGACUUCUUUUGGAGCCUGAUCCUAAAGGGUACUGAGCCCCACCUUAGAGGGACAGUUUUCCUGAUUUCUGAGAGGCUGAGCAAUGUGUGGGCCCUGACAUGGAGAUGGUUAUUGCUGUGGUCCUUGUAUACCCAGCUAGCGAGAGAAUAAAGAACAUUCCAACAGAACAGUUGUAUCCACAACAAGAUUUUUGGAAGGACAGUACAAAACUUCUGUACAAUAAGUACUCCCUUCUUUCUAGUUUAAAUUUUUGGUGUAGUGACAGUUAAAAAUAUAUUCUCCACAGCUGCAGUGGAGAAAUGUUGCAGAAAAUUGUGGGCAUCGGCAUUAAAAUCCAUUGUUACCAGUAGUGCAGAAAUAACUAAAAAGAAGGGCGAUGUUCAACUUUCAGCCUGGGAGAAGCAGAGGCCUACUGUAGCUUUGCCACCUAUAUUGUUCUCCCUGAUUCUGGGUUGAUCUAGGGUCUGGAGAGGCCCCGCAGCAUAACUUAAGCAGCCCUAGGGGCCUCUCAAAGUUACAGCAGCCUUCCUGGGACUACCCUAGGGGCUGCAGCAUUGCAUAGGAUCUCUGCAGUGGUGUGGCCUUGCCCCUGACAUGCCUCUACUUCACCUAGCCCACUCCCACCCAAAAAUGCCCCAGGACUUGUGAGGGGGUCCUUAGAAAGCAGUCCAUCUGGCUGUCAUUUGUAGUGCCUGCCUCCAGGGAAUUCUCCCUCAGCCAGAACUGAGGCUUUUAUAGCCUCUUUACACUGCUCUGGCUCUUUCACCUAGCAUGAAGAGGCUGUGGUGGCGGGUGGGGAGUUCAUCUCAAAAUUAUGCUGCUUGCAUCAUCCUAGUUAAGAGUAUUAAAGUGAAUGCCCAUAAACUCACACUCACCCACAAAUUCUGACCAACAGGAUAAGUCUAAAAAUGAAAACCAGUGCAUGAAUAAAUACAUAAAAUGUGUUUGUUUGUAAUAGUUAGUUUGCUUUUUCUUCUUACCCUUAUACUCAGCAUCAAAAGUCCCCCCCCACAGACUGUUUUGUAGAGGUCCAUUUGUGUGUGCAGUUACACAU